Molecule: long non-coding RNA, 529 nt
Organism: Salvia miltiorrhiza (redroot sage)
Lineage: Eukaryota; Viridiplantae; Streptophyta; Magnoliopsida; Lamiales; Lamiaceae
Exons: 2
Source: RefSeq, a predicted model, not a curated record
AAUAAACAAAAUUAAACAAUAAAUAAAUAAUAAAUAAACAAAUAAAUAAAGAUGAAACAAAGGAAUAACUAAACAAUUAACUCAGUUUUUGAUUAUACACGUUUCAAAUGAAAGGAAUUAAGGAAACUAGGGAAGACCACUUUGAAUAAACAAAUAUACAAAUUUCAAUGGCUUUAAGAGUGUUUUUUUUGCUUUACACGUGUUGUUCAAAGCCAAAUCCCAUGGCCAUAUGUAUUUCUUUUUCUUUUCUUCCACUUUAGUCUUUGGAAAUCAUGGAACCUCCAGUUCAGAUCGCAACAGCGCCGCGGAAGUGUUGAUGGAGCAGCGGUGGUGCCGUGGUGGUGAGGGUCGUCGCAGCGUCGUCGUUGGAGUAGGGGCGGCGUUGGAGUUGCUGAUUGCGGGGAGAGAGAGAGCGAAUUUCUGGGAGAACCGCAAUCAAUGAGGGAGAAACUAGGAUUGAAACUAAAAUAAUAUUAUUUAAUUAUUUAUUUAAUAUUAAUGUGAAAUUACUAAAAUACCCCUAGUUUUU